GUCCCCUUCGUCUAGCGGUUAGGACACCGGGUUUUCAUCCCGGCAACAGGGGUUCGAUUCCCCUAGGGGAUG
Molecule: transfer RNA, 72 nt
Filed under: Treponema sp.
Lineage: Bacteria; Pseudomonadati; Spirochaetota; Spirochaetia; Treponematales; Treponemataceae
Description: tRNA-Glu
Rfam family: tRNA
About the family: Transfer RNA (tRNA) molecules are approximately 80 nucleotides in length. Their secondary structure includes four short double-helical elements and three loops (D, anti-codon, and T loops).
Source: RNAcentral